GAGGAAGUGGCAGAGAGGACAUGUGCCUGGCUUGAAACCAGUGUAAGGGGGUUCGAGUCCCUCCUUUCUCG
RNAcentral lists this transfer RNA (71 nucleotides) under Adelastes hylonomos (Neblina frog). RNAcentral describes it as "tRNA-Ser". It matches the Rfam family "tRNA". From Rfam's summary of the family: Transfer RNA (tRNA) molecules are approximately 80 nucleotides in length. The record is from RNAcentral. Lineage: Eukaryota; Metazoa; Chordata; Amphibia; Anura; Microhylidae.